RNAcentral lists this ribosomal RNA (403 nucleotides) under uncultured Methylobacterium sp. RNAcentral's name for it is "bacterial SSU rRNA". It matches the Rfam family "Bacterial small subunit ribosomal RNA", at positions 355 to 774 of the family's 1533-position model. Lineage: Bacteria; Pseudomonadati; Pseudomonadota; Alphaproteobacteria; Hyphomicrobiales; Methylobacteriaceae. The record is from RNAcentral.
UGGGGAAUAUUGGACAAUGGGCGCAAGCCUGAUCCAGCCAUGCCGCGUGAGUGAUGAAGGCCUUAGGGUUGUAAAGCUCUUUUGUCCGGGACGAUAAUGACGGUACCGGAAGAAUAAGCCCCCGGCUAACUUCGUGCCAGCAGCCGCGGUAAUACGAAGGGGGCUAGCGUUGCUCGGAAUCACUGGGCGUAAAGGGCGCGUAGGCGGCCAUUCAAGUCGGGGGUGAAAGCCCGUGGCUCAACCACAGAAUUGCCUUCGAUACUGUUUGGCUUGAGUAUGGUAGAGGUCGGUGGAACUGCGAGUGUAGAGGUGAAAUUCGUAGAUAUUCGCAAGAACACCAGUGGCGAAGGCGGCCGACUGGACCAUUACUGACGCUGAGGCGCGAAAGCGUGGGGAGCAAACA